GGCUCCAUAGCUCAAGGGUUAGAGCACCGGUCUUGUAAACCAGGGGUCACGGGUUCAUAUCUCACUGGAGCCU
Molecule: transfer RNA, 73 nt
Filed under: Loxodonta africana (African savanna elephant)
Lineage: Eukaryota; Metazoa; Chordata; Mammalia; Proboscidea; Elephantidae
Rfam family: tRNA
About the family: Transfer RNA (tRNA) molecules are approximately 80 nucleotides in length. Their secondary structure includes four short double-helical elements and three loops (D, anti-codon, and T loops).
Source: Rfam by way of RNAcentral